GAUAAUCUGCCCUUAGGUGGAGGAUAACCUCGGGAAACUGAGAAUAAGACUCCAUAGAUCUAGGAGGCUGGAAUGCACUUAGAUCAAAAACUUCGGUGCCUAAGGAUGAGUCUGCGGACUAUCAGGUAGUAGUCAGGGUAAUGACCUGACCAGCCUAUGACGGAUACGGGUUAUGAGAGCAAUAACCCGGAGAUGAUAUCUGAGACACGAUAUCAGGCCCUACGGGGCGCAGCAGGCGCGAAAACUUCACACUGUGCGAAAGCACGAUGAGGGAAUCCCAAGUGCUGGCUCGUAAGAGUCAGCUGUUUUUCUGUCUAGAAAACAGAGAGAGUAAGAGCUGGGUAAGACGGGUGCCAGCCGCCGCGGUAAUACCUGCAGCUCAAGUGGUGGCCGCUAUUAUUGGGCCUAAAACGUUCGUAGCCGGUCUAGUAAAUGCCUGGGUAAAUCAUACGGCUUAACCGUACGAAUUCCGGGUAGACUGCUGGACUUGGGACUGGGAGAGGCUAGAGGUACUCCUGGGGUAGAGGUGAAAUUCUGUAAUCCUAGGGGGACGACCAGUGGCGAAGGCGUCUAGCUAGAACAGGUCUGACGGUGAGGAACGAAGCCCUGGGGCGCAAACGGGAUUAGAUACCCCGGUAGUCCAGGGUGUAAACGCUGCUUGCUUGAUGUUAGUCGGGCUCCGAGCCCGAUUAGUGUCGGAGAGAAGUUGUUAAGCAAGCUGCCUGGGGAGUACGGCCGCAAGACUGAAACUUAAAGGAAUUGGCGGGGGAGCACCGCAACGGGUGGAGCGUGCGGUUUAAUUGGAUCAACGCCGGAA
RNAcentral lists this ribosomal RNA (817 nucleotides) under uncultured archaeon. Its description in RNAcentral is "bacterial SSU rRNA". It matches the Rfam family "Archaeal small subunit ribosomal RNA", at positions 103 to 923 of the family's 1478-position model. The record is from RNAcentral.